UGGACCUGGCUGAUCUGUCCUCCUAAUCGAGCGUACGGAUUCGGUCGGGUCUUUCCUUCUGGGGAACCCUAUGUCCUUCAUUGGGUGUAGUGGGGAACCAGGACUUUUACCUUGAAAAAAUUAGAGUGUUCAAAGCAGGCCUUUGCUCGAAUACAUUAGCAUGGAAUAAUAGAAUAGGACAUCGGUUCUAUUUUGUUGGUUUCUAGGACCGCUGUAAUGAUUAAUAGGGAUAGUCGGGGGCGUCCGUAUUCAAUUGUCAGAGGUGAAAUUCUUGGAUUUAUUGAAGACGAACUACUGCGAAAGCAUUCGCCAAGGAUGUUUUCAUUAAUCAGUGAACGAAAGUUAGGGGAUCGAAGACGAUCAGAUACCGUCGUAGUCUUAACCAUAAACUAUGCCGACUAGGGAUCGGACGGUGGUUUUUUUAUGCCCCGUUCGGCACC
This 440-nucleotide ribosomal RNA is filed under the name uncultured Cyphellophora. Its description in RNAcentral is "SSU rRNA". It matches the Rfam family "Eukaryotic small subunit ribosomal RNA", at positions 636 to 1087 of the family's 1831-position model. Lineage: Eukaryota; Fungi; Ascomycota; Eurotiomycetes; Chaetothyriales; Herpotrichiellaceae. The record is from RNAcentral.